This 86-nucleotide transfer RNA is filed under the name Candidatus Peribacteraceae bacterium. RNAcentral describes it as "tRNA-Leu". It matches the Rfam family "tRNA". From Rfam's summary of the family: Transfer RNA (tRNA) molecules are approximately 80 nucleotides in length. The record is from RNAcentral. Lineage: Bacteria; Candidatus Peregrinibacteriota; Candidatus Peribacteria; Candidatus Peribacterales.
GCCGCCGUGGUGGAAUGGCAGACACGGGGGACUUAAAAUCCCCUGCCCUCACGGGCAUGCUGGUUCAAUUCCAGCCGGCGGCACCA